Pelobates cultripes (western spadefoot toad) is the source of this 594-nucleotide non-coding RNA. The record is from the annotation of a GenBank genome assembly. Lineage: Eukaryota; Metazoa; Chordata; Amphibia; Anura; Pelobatidae.
UUUUCACUUACAAAGGCAUGUCCCACAUCUACCAUCUUAUAUUAGGGACACAGGGCUUGUCCAUACCCUUGUUCAGGAUAUAAGCUGGUUAGAUAACUAGAGUUGGGUGACCAUCAAUGUGACUGCACUGUACACGAAUAUUGAUCAUUCCUUGGGCCUUUCAUCAGACCCGUUACUCCCAGAGCAGUAGGCCGAUUUUAUUUUGAGGUUCACCGAGAUUAUCUUAAGGCAUAAAUAUUUUCAAUUUAAUAAAAAAAAAUUAUUUACGGACUAAAGGAAGCACGAUGGGGUAAGUUUCACUUCAUCCUUUGCAAAUUCAUGGGCUACUGGGAAAAGACCAUGGUCCUGGAUAGCCCGCAUUGGAUGGAGCAACUCGCCUUCUAUCGCAGGUUAAGUGACGAUAUUCUUAUCAGUUGGAGAGGUGAAUGGGGGGAGAUAGAUGAGUUUGUCUCUUAUUUAAACAUUUAAACAUGCAUGGGGCUUUUCUUUCAUGUUUACCAAACAUCACAGAGAGAUCAACUUUCUUGACCUUCCUUGAGAGGAAAGGAGAGGGGCAUUUGCACCAUAACCUAUCAAAAGAAGGUUGAUGUAAAC